UGGUGCAUGGUUGUCGUCAGCUCGUGUCGUGAGAUGUUGGGUUAAGUCCCGCAACGAGCGCAACCCCUACGUUUAGUUGCUAACGCGUGAAGGCGAGCACUCUAGACGAACUGCCGUUGACAAAACGGAGGAAGGUGGGGAUGACGUCAAAUCAUCAUGCCCCUUAUGUUCUGGGCUACACACGUGCUACAAUGGCCGGUACAGACGGACGCAAAGCCGCGAGGUGGAGCAAAUCCUAAAAAGCCGGUCUCAGUUCGGAUUGCAGGCUGCAAUUCGCCUGCAUGAAGUCGGAAUCGCUAGUAAUCGCAGGUCAGCAUACUGCGGUGAAUACGUUCCCGGGCCUU
RNAcentral lists this ribosomal RNA (344 nucleotides) under uncultured Pelotomaculum sp. Its description in RNAcentral is "bacterial SSU rRNA". It matches the Rfam family "Bacterial small subunit ribosomal RNA", at positions 1039 to 1382 of the family's 1533-position model. The record is from RNAcentral. Lineage: Bacteria; Bacillati; Bacillota; Clostridia; Eubacteriales; Desulfotomaculaceae.